Molecule: ribosomal RNA, 497 nt
Filed under: uncultured bacterium
Lineage: Bacteria
Description: partial 16S ribosomal RNA
Rfam family: Bacterial small subunit ribosomal RNA
Source: RNAcentral
GAUGAACGCUGGCGGCGUGCCUAAUACAUGCAAGUCGAGCGAACGGACGAGAAGCUUGCUUCUCUGAUGUUAGCGGCGGACGGGUGAGUAACACGUGGAUAACCUACCUAUAAGACUGGGAUAACUUCGGGAAACCGGAUCUAAUACCGGAUGAUAUUUUGAACCGCAUGGUUCAAAAGUGAAAGACGGUCUUGCUGUCACUUAUAGAUGGAUCCGCGCUGCAUUAGCUAGUUGGUAAGGUAACGGCUUACCAAGGCAACGAUGCAUAGCCGACCUGAGAGGGUGAUCGGCCACACUGGAACUGAGACACGGUCCAGACUCCUACGGGAGGCAGCAGUAGGGAAUCUUCCGCAAUGGGCGAAAGCCUGACGGAGCAACGCCGCGUGAGUGAUGAAGGUCUUCGGAUCGUAAGACUCUGUUAUUAGGGAAGAACAUAUGUGUAAGUAACUGUGCACAUCUUGACGGUACCUAAUCAGAAAGCCACGGCUAACUACGUG